Molecule: unclassified non-coding RNA, 421 nt
Filed under: Hevea brasiliensis (rubber tree)
Lineage: Eukaryota; Viridiplantae; Streptophyta; Magnoliopsida; Malpighiales; Euphorbiaceae
Source: RNAcentral
GCAUUUGCAUUUGUCAUCUGGGUCCGACUUAGACACUGGUUCGGGUCAUAUCCACAUGCACAAUACUGCUGAAGAGGAAGAAGUUGAUUUGGGUCACACCCACGUACACAAUACUUAUGAAGGGGAAGAAGUGCACCAACGCGAAAUACCUUUUACUUCUUACCAUUUUAAUGAUUAUCCUCAAGAAAAUUGGAGUUAUAAUUAUCCGGAAGAUAAUCCAUAUUCAUAUCCAUACCCGUAUCCCUUCUCCAAUCCUUAUCCAAACAUGUAUUACAUGAAGAGUUCUGCUACUCCGUCCAAGACAGUGGUCUAUGAGGAUCCAACAGUAAAUGGGUAUUCGAGUUAUUAUGGAAGUGCCGGGUAUUUCGGGUACCCGAUGAUGGGUUCGCCGCAGGAGCCAAGUCCGCAGAGGCCGCCACCG